UGUAUGGAGAUAAUAGGGCCAGGGCCUCCCACGAGACCCGAAGAAAAAUUUUUGGAAGUCCUCAAUGGACUGAAGGACU
This 79-nucleotide small nuclear RNA is filed under the name Gongylonema pulchrum. RNAcentral describes it as "SmY spliceosomal RNA". It matches the Rfam family "SmY spliceosomal RNA". The record is from Rfam by way of RNAcentral. Lineage: Eukaryota; Metazoa; Nematoda; Chromadorea; Rhabditida; Gongylonematidae.